AUCGCUUCUCGGCCUUUUGGCUAAGAUCAAGUGUAAAAUUUAUAAUACUAAUUGUUUUGAGUUUAUGCUAAUUAAAGAGCAGUAAACUCAGAAAAACAUCCUUUUUUACUACUUAAAGUCAGAUUUAUAAAUUC
RNAcentral lists this small nuclear RNA (134 nucleotides) under Suricata suricatta (meerkat). Its description in RNAcentral is "U2 spliceosomal RNA (ENSSSUG00005016504.1)". It matches the Rfam family "U2 spliceosomal RNA". Rfam says of the family: U2 is a small nuclear RNA (snRNA) component of the spliceosome (involved in pre-mRNA splicing). Complementary binding between U2 snRNA (in an area lying towards the 5' end but 3' to hairpin I) and the branchpoint sequence (BPS) of the intron results the bulging out of an unpaired adenosine, on the BPS, which initiates a nucleophilic attack at the intronic 5' splice site, thus starting the first of two transesterification reactions that mediate splicing. Lineage: Eukaryota; Metazoa; Chordata; Mammalia; Carnivora; Herpestidae. The record is from Rfam by way of RNAcentral.